CUACGGGUCGCAGCAGGGAAGAAUAUUGUACAAUGGGGGCAACCCUGAUACAGCAACGCCGCGUGAAGGAAGAAGGCCUUCGGGUUGUAAACUUCUGUGACAGAGGACGAAGAAGAUGACGGUACUCUGAGAGGAAGCUCCGGCAAACUACGUGCCAGCAGCCGCGGUAAUACGUAGGGGGCGAGCGUUGUCCGGAAUCACUGGGCGUAAAGGGCGCGUAGGCGGCCUGUUAAGUUGGAUGUGAAAUCCCCGGGCUCAACCCGGGACCUGCAUUCAAAACUGGCGGGCUUGAGUAUGGUAGAGGAAAGUGGAAUUCCUAGUGUAGCGGUGGAAUGCGUAGAUAUUAGGAGGAACACCAGUGGCGAAGGCGACUUUCUGGGCCAAAACUGACGCUGAGGCGCGAAAGCGUGGGGAGCAAACAGGAUUAGAUACCCCCGUAGUC
RNAcentral lists this ribosomal RNA (442 nucleotides) under uncultured bacterium. RNAcentral's name for it is "partial 16S ribosomal RNA". It matches the Rfam family "Bacterial small subunit ribosomal RNA", at positions 339 to 795 of the family's 1533-position model. The record is from RNAcentral.